CACGUAGGGCGCAAGCGUUGUCCGGAAUUAUUGGGCGUAAAGAGCUCGUAGGCGGCUAAGUAAGUCGGGUGUGAAAACUCCAGGCUCAACCUGGAGACGCCACCCGAUACUGCUUUGGCUAGAGUCCGGUAGGGGAGCAUGGAAUUCCUGGUGUAGCGGUGAAAUGCGCAGAUAUCAGGAGGAACACCAGUGGCGAAGGCGGUGCUCUGGGCCGGAACUGACGCUGAGGAGCGAAAGCGUGGGGAGCAAACAGG
RNAcentral lists this ribosomal RNA (254 nucleotides) under uncultured bacterium. RNAcentral's name for it is "partial 16S ribosomal RNA". It matches the Rfam family "Bacterial small subunit ribosomal RNA", at positions 524 to 776 of the family's 1533-position model. The record is from RNAcentral.